UUAAAUUUAGUAAAUUAUUACAUUUCAUUUACAAUGAAAAAGUCUACAUAGAAUUUAAU
RNAcentral lists this transfer RNA (59 nucleotides) under Orpiella concavum. RNAcentral describes it as "tRNA-Val". Lineage: Eukaryota; Metazoa; Mollusca; Gastropoda; Stylommatophora; Trochomorphidae. The record is from RNAcentral.